GAUGAACGCUGGCGGCGUGCCUAAUACAUGCAAGUCGAGCGAACGGACGAGAAGCUUGCUUCUCUGAUGUUAGCGGCGGACGGGUGAGUAACACGUGGAUAACCUACCUAUAAGACUGGGAUAACUUCGGGAAACCGGAGCUAAUACCGGAUGAUAUUUUGAACCGCAUGGUUCAAAAGUGAAAGACGGUCUUGCUGUCACUUAUAGAUGGAUCCGCGCUGCAUUAGCUAGUUGGUAAGGUAACGGCUUACCAAGGCAACGAUGCAUAGCCGACCUGAGAGGGUGAUCGGCCACACGGGAAGUUGGACACGGUCCAGACUCCUACGGGAGGCAGCAGUAGGGAAUCUUCCGCAGUGGGCGAAAGCCUGACGGAGCAACGCCGCGUGAGUGAUGAAGGUCUUCGGAGCGUAAAACUCUGUUAUUAGGGAAGAACAUAUGUGUAAGUAACUGUGCACAUCUUGACGGUACCUAAUCAGAAAGCCACGGCUAACUACGUG
RNAcentral lists this ribosomal RNA (497 nucleotides) under uncultured bacterium. RNAcentral describes it as "partial 16S ribosomal RNA". It matches the Rfam family "Bacterial small subunit ribosomal RNA", at positions 28 to 507 of the family's 1533-position model. The record is from RNAcentral.